This 492-nucleotide ribosomal RNA is filed under the name uncultured bacterium. RNAcentral describes it as "partial 16S ribosomal RNA". It matches the Rfam family "Bacterial small subunit ribosomal RNA", at positions 29 to 507 of the family's 1533-position model. The record is from RNAcentral.
AGUGAACGCUGGCGGUAGGCCUAACACAUGCAAGUCGAACGGCAGCACAGUAAGAGCUUGCUCUUACGGGUGGCGAGUGGCGGACGGGUGAGGAAUACAUCGGAAUCUACUUUUUCGUGGGGGAUAACGUAGGGAAACUUACGCUAAUACCGCAUACGACCUACGGGUGAAAGCAGGGGAUCUUCGGACCUUGCGCGAUUGAAUGAGCCGAUGUCGGAUUAGCUAGUUGGCGGGGUAAAGGCCCACCAAGGCGGCGAUCCGUAGCUGGUCUGAGAGGAUGAUCAGCCACACUGGAACUGAGACACGGUCCAGACUCCUACGGGAGGCAGCAGUGGGGAAUAUUGGACAAUGGGCGCAAGCCUGAUCCAGCCAUACCGCGUGGGUGAAGAAGGCCUUCGGGUUGUAAAGCCCUUUUGUCGGGAAAGAAAAGCAGCAGGUUAAUACCCCGCUGUUCUGACGGUACCCAAAGAAUAAGCACCGGCUAACUUCGUG